Molecule: ribosomal RNA, 252 nt
Filed under: uncultured bacterium
Lineage: Bacteria
Description: partial 16S ribosomal RNA
Rfam family: Bacterial small subunit ribosomal RNA
Source: RNAcentral
UACGGAGGAUGCGAGCGUUAUCCGAAUUUAUUGGGUUUAAAGGGUGCGUAGGCGGGCUUUUAAGUCAGCGGUAAAAAUUCGGGGCUCAACCCCGUCCGGCCGUUGAAACUGGGGGCCUUGAGUGGGCGAGAAGAAGGCGGAAUGCGUGGUGUAGCGGUGAAAUGCAUAGAUAUCACGCAGAACCCCGAUUGCGAAGGCAGCCUUCCGGCGCCCUACUGACGCUGAGGCACGAAAGUGCGGGGAUCGAACAGG